Amphiprion ocellaris (clown anemonefish) is the source of this 3915-nucleotide long non-coding RNA. NCBI's taxonomy places the organism in Eukaryota, Metazoa, Chordata, Actinopteri, Pomacentridae. The record is from Ensembl.
UUUUGAAGUUCCAGGUUUGUUCCAUGACGUGGUAUUUAUUGAACAUGAUCAUGAGUUAUGAAAGACUGAUUCUGAAGGCAGGGUACCUGAAAUGUGAUGUGCAAUUUUUAAACAGAUUGUUGACAACAUGUUAAACAUCAUUAAUUGUUUUGUAGAUUUUAUUUUGUAAGACUUGAAUUACUUGAAAUUUGUUAGCUGCUGAAUGUGUUCAAUGCAGUAUUAAAUAAUUUAAAUGAUAUAUAGAUAUCUUUCGUUACAGUUCAGGAAAAAUGGAAAUCCAAACUCAGUGUACCCGAACUAGAACAUGCACAAUGGGAACCUAUUCACCAUGAGGAAAUGAUGCAAAGUUGGUUUUAAUAAAAGCUGAAUGUUGAAAAGUCAUCUCUUGUCUGAGCCAUUUCUAUGCUAUGCUAUUUCCCGGGGCUUUCAUUUUGAGAUGUGACAUUUUUAAAUCAUUAGUUUUCAGCAAUGUUAUCACUUCAUAUCAUCACAUUCUCUGAUAUCAAUUUUACAGUAAUAAACUGUUUAUGAAGAUUACAGUACAAACAGUAAAAUAACAGUAUAAUGGCACCAAAAUACUGACAGUAAUAUACUGUAAGCAUAAACUCUAAACAUCAUAAUACUGUAAUAUUUGUUACAGUAAUAAACUGUUGUUGUAGGAUACGGUAGGUUUACUGUAGAAUAACAGUGCUCUGCUGGCAACUUUUGCUGUCAGCUCUUUACUGUGAAUUUACGGGGAAAUUUCUUAGAGUGUAGUUUAAUGGUAACACAAGCAUAAAAACACACACAAAUAAAUACAUUUGCACAUAAAAAUAUAAAUAAUUGAGAAUAAAGGAUGCGGUAAGCUUGAUACACAUUAAAUAAAGAAAGCAUGUAGGUACACAGACUUCGUUUUGUGAUCUUUAAUUUUGGAGAGAUGUUGGAUCAUAAUUUGAACGGAACUAUGGGAGAAUUUUAAAGCGAAAUAUCUGAAUUUUCUGGAGCUUCAGGCAUCUGAAAUGUGAUCCUGACUACAUGCUGCUUUUUUCAGUUGAAUCUUUAACAAUGUGUUGUAUUUUAAAAGCUUGUUUUACCAUCUUUUGUGUGAAAUAUUCAUCUUGAACCUGACUCAAGCUGUCAAGUAAACAUAGCAGAGCAGAUAACACAGUAUAACCCUUUGAAAGGUAGUGGAGCUGAAGUAUGAAGUUGCAUAAGAUGGAAACACUGAAGUAUUCAUGUGGUCCAUCUGGUGUUUGCAUUCUGAUUCGUGGUUCUGUAACAGCUACUAAAAUUAUAUGGAAAAAAUAUGACCCGGUUAUUUGAAGGGGAUGAAAUGAAGGCAAACGCAGUGAUGUUUUCAGUGACCCAACCAGCCUUUGUGCUUCCAUUAUUCCAACAUGACAUGGAAAUACAAACCAUACUGUGUGAUUAUACUUGAGCCAGAAUAGUGAGAACUCCAUCUGGUACAGUCAUGAGCUCAGGAAGCUCAGCAUGAAUAAAGAUCAGUGGAUGAGUCACAUUCUGGCUUUAUGGAAAUCUAUGCCAUACCUUCGUAACAUCACACAUCACAGCUCUUUCCUUCACCCUCUUUUUCUUCCAUUGAUGCAUUAACAGAAGCUUCAAAACACAGAGAGUAGAUUUGGUUUUAUACUUUUUUUGAACAUUUGUUUAUUCUCAGUUAAGUGGCUGGUCAUGUUUUAUUACACAUACAAUGAUGAGGAGGAAGUUUACAUUCAUUCCCAGCAUCCAUUCAGCAAUAAAACAGUACACGGCACUCACAAGGCUCAAGCAAACAGUGGGAGGGAUGAACGCUGCACGUCACACACGCCUGCUUUUUGGAAGAUGAAUGGAACAGCCCCAAUGGUGGCGCUGACCUUUUCUACAAAUGACUCUAUUUCCUUUUUACAGAAAACUUGCACAUUCUCAGAAAGAAAAACACUUUAUAAUGUGUCAUUACAGAGUUAGUCACAGAGCACCUUUUUGAAAUUGUUGUUUUUUUGUUUAUUAUUCACAAAAAAAAAGGAAACACAGCACAUUGUAUUUGGUAGUCAGGAGGAAAAAGGCAGUUGUUGUUGAGCGAGGGCUUUUUGUGAAUUUCAUUUACAGUAUGUGUGCUGUGCACGAGAUAGAAAGGAUGAAGACAAAGGAGAGACCUACACUAGACUACGCUGAAGCGUUUAGGAACAGGUCUGAAUCUGGCAUCGUGCUGCAGCAUCAGCAUCAUAGUUCAGAUUCAGUUUUAGUCAUGUCAUUAUCUCAUGGACUGUAAAAGAAAAUUAUCUAUAUUUCAGUGACUACUGCAGGAAAAAAAAUUAUUUAGAAGGUUUAGAAAUGUAACUUUUACCACAAAAUCCACAGCCAGCCUUAGGUCCAAUAAUGACAAACAUGGAUCAACAACACAUUCAUGACGGGACACUUAGCUACACGUCAGACACAAGGGUUCGAUGAAAAUGGCUCUCACAGUAAUGUAAAAGAUGUGUUAAAUCUGUCACAGAACAACGUUCAGACACAUGGAAACACAGAGGAAGGUUGGAGGAAGUGACGUCGACAGCGCAACAGGACAGAAAACCUCUCUUCUCUGAAGCAGAAACGACCUGGGCUUUCGCUCCGUCAACGAGUGGCAACGACGGUCAAGUCAGUCGGACUUGCACCGGCCAGAACCUUCAACUAACCCCAGAUCUGCUCCGGUUCAGCCUCCCUUCGUUAGAGAAAUGACCACAGACACAAAACUCAAGCGCAGGUAUAGAUAAGGAGGAGAGCCGUGGAUGGAUCAUUCAGGCUGCACAUGUGAGCGGCUUCAGGAUCAGCAAACAGUGAUGAUGACUGCACAGACUCAGCACAACGCAUGCAGGGUUUGGAGGUGGGAGGGGGCAACAGAUUGUGUCGCUAUCUACCAGCCAAAGGAGUCGAGGGUGGGGGCAGUAAUAGGGGGAGAUGAAGGAUUUAGCCGACAUUAGAGUGUUAACAGAGGCGGAGGGGACGGUGAGUGUAAGGGUUGACAAGAUUUCCUCCUCUUCUUCCUCUUUUUUUUGUUGUUUUUUUUCCCCCCGUGCUCUCAAACGUCUGCCCUGUUGGAAGGGUUGUAGAGGGACCUCAGCGUUUGGCUGGAGAAGCACUCCUGCUUCCCUGGAACAGACAACACAAUGCGGUGAAUACAUGCAGCCCUUAUCACACCACCUACCAGGCCUAUCUUGGCUGCUAGUCCUCUCCACUGGAUGUGCAGAGAAACAAGAGACAAGGACAAGAAGGCAGGAGGGAGAGGGGACAAAUAGAAAAAACUUACUCAGCGCAAAGGCAGGAUGGAAAAGGAGAGGAGGCAGGUGGGAGAGUCCAUCCAGAGGGGGGGUGGGGAGGAGGAGUCACGGGGUCACGGGGGGGAAAUGUGUUUGGAGAGGGAGGAGAGAGGAGCAAGGAGGAUGCUCACAUUGGAAAGAGCACAAGUUUAGUGACAUUCAGCAGCAACAAGGCCAAAGACAUGAACCAUAUAGUACAUUUACCGUUCGACUAUUUUAAAGUGAUUGCAAAGAUGCUGUAAAUAUUUGUUUCUUGCAUGUGUUCGUACACGGUUCUUUGAAAGUCCGCCAAUUAGACUGUUUGGUUUCACAUUAAAAUGACCUGCCAUCAGUGAGACAGAAUCUAUUUUCUAGUCCCUGCUGUUGCUAAGCUAAGCUAAAUUAAGCUAAAAUAAGAUAAAACUUUAUUGAUCCGGAAGGAAAUUCUUGUACCAGAGAUUGCUCAGAAAAAAACAAAUGAUAUAACAGAUGAAAUGUAGUGCCUAAAAAGUAAAAAAGCAUUACUAUAUGAGUACAAUACUGAAAAAAAUACUGCACUGAAAAAUGAGGUGAAUCUGAAAAAGAAAGGUUGAAAACAACUGUAACUGUAAACAUGUCACCUUACUUAAAUGACCUAAAAUGGAAUGGAAAAACGCACUGAAAC